RNAcentral lists this transfer RNA (77 nucleotides) under Enterococcus faecalis PC1.1. RNAcentral describes it as "tRNA-Glu". It matches the Rfam family "tRNA". From Rfam's summary of the family: Transfer RNA (tRNA) molecules are approximately 80 nucleotides in length. Their secondary structure includes four short double-helical elements and three loops (D, anti-codon, and T loops). Further hydrogen bonds mediate the characteristic L-shaped molecular structure. tRNAs have two regions of fundamental functional importance: the anti-codon, which is responsible for specific mRNA codon recognition, and the 3' end, to which the tRNAs corresponding amino acid is attached (by aminoacyl-tRNA synthetases). tRNAs cope with the degeneracy of the genetic code in two manners: having more than one tRNA (with a specific anti-codon) for a particular amino acid; and 'wobble' base-pairing, i.e. permitting non-standard base-pairing at the 3rd anti-codon position. The record is from RNAcentral. Lineage: Bacteria; Bacillati; Bacillota; Bacilli; Lactobacillales; Enterococcaceae.
UGGCCCGUUGGUCAAGCGGUUAAGACACCGCCCUUUCACGGCGGUAACACGGGUUCGAGUCCCGUACGGGUCAUAGU